GACGAGUGGCCCAAGCGUUAGUCGGAAUCACUGGGCUUGAAGCGUGCGCAGGCGGACCUUCAGGCGUCCCGUGAAAUCCCCCGGCUCAACCGGGGAAUGGCGGGGCGAACCGUUGGUCUUGAGGCAGGUAGGGGGGCGCAGAACUGUCGGUGGAGCGGUGAAAUGCGUAGAUAUCGACAGGAAUGCCGAAGGGGAAGCCGGCGCCCUGGGCCUGUCCUGACGCUCAUGCACGAAAGCGUGGGGAGCAAACAGG
RNAcentral lists this ribosomal RNA (253 nucleotides) under uncultured bacterium. Its description in RNAcentral is "partial 16S ribosomal RNA". It matches the Rfam family "Bacterial small subunit ribosomal RNA", at positions 524 to 776 of the family's 1533-position model. The record is from RNAcentral.